GCUUUAAAAGCUUAUGAUAAGUAAUUAGUCUUGUAAACUAAGGGAGAAGGUUUAACUCCUUCUUAAAGCU
RNAcentral lists this transfer RNA (70 nucleotides) under Holothuria hilla. RNAcentral's name for it is "tRNA-Thr". It matches the Rfam family "tRNA". Rfam says of the family: Transfer RNA (tRNA) molecules are approximately 80 nucleotides in length. Their secondary structure includes four short double-helical elements and three loops (D, anti-codon, and T loops). Lineage: Eukaryota; Metazoa; Echinodermata; Holothuroidea; Aspidochirotida; Holothuriidae. The record is from RNAcentral.